CAAUAGCGUAUAUUAAAGUUGUUGCAGUUAAAAAGCUCGUAGUUGGAUUUGUGGCGUACGGUGUGUUCCGGGCACUUGUUGUCUGAGUAACCUGCUGUUGCCAUCCUUGGGUGGAACCUGUGUGGCAUUAGGUUGUCGUGCAGGGGAUGCCCAUCAUUUACUGUGAAAAAAUUAGAGUGUUCAAAGCAGGCUUAUGCCGUUGAAUAUAUUAGCAUGGGAUAAUGAGAUAGGACUUUUUUGCUAUUUUGUUGGUUUGCGCAAAGAGGUAAUGAUUAAUAGGGACAGUUGGGGGUAUUCGUAUUCCAUUGUCAGAGGUGAAAUUCUUGGAUUUUUGGAAGACGAACCACUGCGAAAGCGUUUACCAAGGAUGUUUUCAUUAA
This 380-nucleotide ribosomal RNA is filed under the name uncultured eukaryote. Its description in RNAcentral is "partial 18S ribosomal RNA". It matches the Rfam family "Eukaryotic small subunit ribosomal RNA", at positions 592 to 976 of the family's 1831-position model. The record is from RNAcentral.